Molecule: transfer RNA, 51 nt
Filed under: Satyrium princeae
Lineage: Eukaryota; Viridiplantae; Streptophyta; Magnoliopsida; Asparagales; Orchidaceae
Description: partial tRNA-Leu
Source: RNAcentral
AAUUUAAUGAAAUUUAUAGUAAGAGGAAAAUCCGUCGAAUUUUAAAAUCGU